Molecule: ribosomal RNA, 321 nt
Filed under: Caldanaerovirga acetigignens
Lineage: Bacteria; Bacillati; Bacillota; Clostridia; Thermosediminibacterales; Thermosediminibacteraceae
Description: bacterial SSU rRNA
Rfam family: Bacterial small subunit ribosomal RNA
Source: RNAcentral
UUUAACCUGAGAGUUUGAUCCUGGCUCAGGACGAACGCUGGCGGCGUGCCUAACACAUGCAAGUCGAGCGGGGGAUGCUGAAGGUGUAAGCUGGAGGCAUCCUUAGCGGCGGACGGGUGAGUAACACGUAGGCAACCUACCCACCACACGGGGAUAGCCCUGGGAAACCGGGGGUAAUACCCGAUGACUUUGCUAGCCGCAUGGUUAGUAAAGAAAGCUGCCUUUUAGGUGGCGGUGGUGGAUGGGCCUGCGGCCCAUCAGCUAGUUGGUGAGGUAACGGCUCACCAAGGCGACGACGGGUAGCCGGCCUGAGAGGGUGUA